This 400-nucleotide ribosomal RNA is filed under the name uncultured bacterium. RNAcentral describes it as "bacterial SSU rRNA". It matches the Rfam family "Bacterial small subunit ribosomal RNA", at positions 355 to 747 of the family's 1533-position model. The record is from RNAcentral.
UGGGGAAUAUUGGACAAUGGGGGGAACCCUGAUCCAGCAAUGCCGCGUGUGUGAAGAAGGCCUGAGGGUUGUAAAGCACUUUCGGCGGGGAGGAGGAUGAGUUGGUUAAGAGCUGACUUAUUGGACGUUACCCGCAUAAGAAGCACCGGCUAACUCCGUGCCAGCAGCCGCGGUAAUACGGAGGGUGCGAGCGUUAAUCGGAAUUACUGGGCGUAAAGGGUGCGUAGGUGGUUAUGUAAGUUAUCUGUGAAAUCCCAGGGCUUAACCUUGGUGUGUCAGAUAAAACUGUGUAGCUAGAGUAUGAGAGAGGGUAGUGGAAUUUCCGGUGUAGCGGUGAAAUGCGUAGAGAUCGGAAGGAACACCAGUGGCGAAGGCGGCUACCUGGCUUAAUACUGACACU